CCUACGGGUGGCUGCAGUGGGGAAUAUUGGACAAUGGGGGGAACCCUGAUCCAGCCAUGCCGCGUGUGUGAAGAAGGCCCUCGGGUUGUAAAGCACUUUCAGUGAGGAAGAACGCCUGGUGGUUAAUACCCAUCAGGAAAGACAUCACUCACAGAAGAAGCACCGGCUAACUCCGUGCCAGCAGCCGCGGUAAUACGGAGGGUGCGAGCGUUAAUCGGAAUUACUGGGCGUAAAGCGCGCGUAGGUGGCUUGAUAAGCCGGUUGUGAAAGCCCCGGGCUCAACCUGGGAACGGCAUCCGGAACUGUCAAGCUAGAGUGCAGGAGAGGAAGGUAGAAUUCCCGGUGUAGCGGUGAAAUGCGUAGAGAUCAGGAGGAAUACCAGUGGCGAAGGCGGCCUUCUGGACUGACACUGACACUGAGGUGCGAAAGCGUGGGUAGCAAACAGGAUUAGAUACCCGAGUAGUC
RNAcentral lists this ribosomal RNA (465 nucleotides) under Vreelandella stevensii. RNAcentral's name for it is "partial 16S ribosomal RNA". It matches the Rfam family "Bacterial small subunit ribosomal RNA", at positions 338 to 795 of the family's 1533-position model. Lineage: Bacteria; Pseudomonadati; Pseudomonadota; Gammaproteobacteria; Oceanospirillales; Halomonadaceae. The record is from RNAcentral.